RNAcentral lists this unclassified non-coding RNA (234 nucleotides) under plant metagenome. Its description in RNAcentral is "partial contains small subunit ribosomal RNA, internal transcribed spacer 1, and 5.8S ribosomal RNA". The record is from RNAcentral.
UUUCCGUAGGUGAACCUGCGGAAGGAUCUUUACAGUAGUCACCCAGGUUGCCGCAAGGCCUCCUGGGUAACCUACCACCCUUUGUUUAUUACACUUUGUUGCUUUGGCAAGCCUGCCCUCGGGCUGCUGGCUCCGGCCGGCGAGCGCUUGCCAGAGGACCUAAACUCUGUUUGUCUAUACUGUCUGAGUACUAUAUAAUAGUUAAAACUUUCAACAACGGAUCUCUUGGUUCUG